RNAcentral lists this ribosomal RNA (249 nucleotides) under uncultured soil bacterium. RNAcentral's name for it is "partial 16S ribosomal RNA". It matches the Rfam family "Bacterial small subunit ribosomal RNA", at positions 26 to 278 of the family's 1533-position model. The record is from RNAcentral.
AGGACGAACGCUGGCGGCGUGCUUAACACAUGCAAGUCGAGCGACAGUGUUCUUCGGAACAUAUGGAGCGGCGAACGGGUGAGUAACACGUGGGCAACCUGCCCCUAGCUCUGGGAUAACUCCGGGAAACCGGGGCUAAUACCGGAUACGAUCUUCCAUGGCAUCUCGGAAGAUGGAAAGUUUUUUCGGCUAGGGAUGGGCCCGCGGCCUAUCAGCUUGUUGGUGAGGUAACGGCCCACCAAGGCGACG